Long non-coding RNA from Xiphophorus maculatus (southern platyfish), 1869 nucleotides. RefSeq lists it as uncharacterized. NCBI's taxonomy places the organism in Eukaryota, Metazoa, Chordata, Actinopteri, Cyprinodontiformes, Poeciliidae. The transcript has 4 exons. The record is from RefSeq and is a predicted model, not a curated record.
UAUUCAUAACGGCCCUCUGCUUAUCAGUAAAUUAAUUUAGGGAUUUCCUUGUGUUUGGCCUGCUGAUGUCACUUGUUAUGCUGAUGAUAGAUUUGUUUUGUACUCUCGUCAUGAAGCUCGUGCUGGUUUGAUCUCAGAACCACUGAAGUUCCUUAAGAUCGUUUCUUCCACCAUCUUGUUACCCGCAGUGGAAACGGAGGCGACGGUUAGCUGUGUGAAUGUAACUGGGUCUAUAUUGUUAGUUGUACAUUUUCACAAAAUGUUUUCUUUAAUUUAUUUGUCCUCUUAUACUUGUCUGUCUUUGUGUUCCUCUGUGUCUGCUAUAAGGGAUUUGGUCCUCCAGCUCCGCCAUACUUUCUUCUUCUUUUGUUCAGGGUCCUCCAGCACCAUUAUAAAUAUUAAGUUGUUAAUUUCCUCUUCCGUUUUGUUACUCGUUCCACUGGGAAGAGGCACGUUUUAUAAUCCAUUGUAAUCCUUUCACUUAUAUUGUUCGAAUGUUUAUUUUUUUCUUCUGUAUCAAUGUUAGGUGUUUGGAUAUUUUCAUUUGAGUUGCUAUUACACAUAACAUUUGAUGCAUGUUAACAUUAUUAUUCUGUAUAGAUCGGGUUGGAGAACUGGAGCACAUGCUAUGUGCUAAUGCUAAUAUCUCCCGAUUGACAGAUUGAAUAAACGGAGACCGCCUCCAAACCCAGACUCGGUGUUUUGUGGUUUGUCCGAUUAACACGUAACACACAACACAGAAGUCCACCGGACACACCAGGAGCAUUAUUACAAUGCAGAAGAUGGAAGUGGGUAUCUGGCUUGGAGACUGAAGUUUGUCCAGAGGGAAGCUUUAAUGGACAAAAGAAGGUCCCCAGACUGUCACAGACCCAAACAGGGGGACCAACAACUGAUGGAGACUGUUUGAGUGAAGAAGACUGCCUUAUGACAGAUAGCUUGUGUUCUGAGGCCAUUGCGCUGAAGGAACUGUCAUGAGGAAGAUGAAACAGACUUUCAGCUAUCGCCAGAAGAUGAUUCGUGACCCAGUGACGUCACCUAGUAUCUUUUUGGACUUCCCAAGAUUCCUGGACAUAGGAGGAUUGGUUGAGCAAGAUUUUACAUUGAUGUUUGGGGAAGCCAUCUCUGCAAAGUUCCUGGAGAAGUGGCCCACUGUCUAAAAGCAGAAAGGCCUCAAACAAAGCCGUGGUCUCACACAGUCUGAUGACCUUGAGAACCUUCUUGACAAUGCUGAAGGCACAACAGAAGUGGAAAAUGGUAAGUUGCAAUGACUUACAAAGAAAGUGUUUAAUGAAACAGGAGCACCUUGAUGGCAUCGCAGAAAGCCGUCAACCAUACCUGCUUGCAGUAGGGACUCAGAGGAGUGUGAUUCACAAGUACUUCAUUGUGAUUGACAAACACAGCUUUCAGUUGGCAUACAUUUGACCCUCAGAGACUGACCAUUGGACCAGGUAAAAUGGUGCCUUUAAAUUCACUGGACUGGGGCUGUGAGAUAGCAGAGACUCUUCAGUUACCAAUCAACACCAAGGUAUUAAAUGUUAAAUGGGCCAAACAUCAUGGAGAUAUGUAUCGUGCAGAUUUAGUUGUUUGUAAAGAAGUUUUUUGUGAAAUGCCAGUUUUCCAUACGAUCUACAAUGUUCUUGUGAAAGAUGACAGGUUAUUGUUUGUUACAUUGCCCUGCAAACAGUGUGUCUGAAUGAGCAUUUCAGUGCUUUACAAGUUUUGUGUAGAAGAGACGGACCUCCUGUUAUUUAUGUAGAAGAGCUUUACUGUUACAGAGCUUUUGAUUUACAGGUGUCAUACAGUCAUGAAGAUGCAAAUGUUUAUAUUGUUCCAUACUGUUUCUUGUGAGCAAUAAAAAUGGCAGUUCAA